AGCGAACGCUGGCGGCAGGCCUAACGCAUGCAAGUCGAACGGAUCCUUCGGGAUUAGUGGCGGACGGGUGAGUAACACGUGGGAACGUGCCCUUUGGUUCGGAACAACUCAGGGAAACUUGAGCUAAUACCGGAUGUGCCCUUCGGGGGAAAGAUUUAUCGCCAUUGGAGCGGCCCGCGUCUGAUUAGCUAGUUGGUGAGGUAACGGCCCACCAAGGCGACGAUCAGUAGCUGGUCUGAGAGGAUGAUCAGCCACACUGGGACUGAGACACGGCCCAGACUCCUACGGGAAGCAGCAGUGGGGAAUCUUGCGCAAUGGGCGAAAGCCUGACGCAGCCAUGCCGCGUGAAUGAUGAAGGUCUUAGGAUUGUAAAAUUCUUUCAGCGGGGACGAUAAUGACGGUACCCGCAGAAGAAGCUCCGGCUAACUUCGUG
This 433-nucleotide ribosomal RNA is filed under the name uncultured bacterium. RNAcentral's name for it is "partial 16S ribosomal RNA". It matches the Rfam family "Bacterial small subunit ribosomal RNA", at positions 29 to 507 of the family's 1533-position model. The record is from RNAcentral.